Molecule: ribosomal RNA, 486 nt
Filed under: uncultured bacterium
Lineage: Bacteria
Description: bacterial SSU rRNA
Rfam family: Bacterial small subunit ribosomal RNA
Source: RNAcentral
GAUGAACGCUAGCUACAGGCUUAACACAUGCAAGUCGAGGGGCAGCACAGUGUAGCAAUACACGGGUGGCGACCGGCGCACGGGUGCGUAACGCGUAUCCAACCUUCCCGUUACUCUUGGAUAGCCUUCCGAAAGGGAGAUUAAUACAAGAUGGUAUUCAAAUUCCGCAUGUUAUUUGAAUUAAAGAUUUAUCGGUAACGGAUGGGGAUGCGUGACAUUAGGUAGAUGGCGGGGUAACGGCCCACCAUGCCUACGAUGUCUAGGGGUUCUGAGAGGAAGGUCCCCCCACACUGGAACUGAGACACGGUCCAGACUCCUACGGGAGGCAGCAGUGAGGAAUAUUGGUCAAUGGUCGGAAGACUGAACCAGCCAAGUAGCGUGAAGGAUGAAGGUUCUAUGGAUUGUAAACUUCUUUUAUACGGGAAUAAAACCUCCACGUGUGGGAGCUUGUAUGUACCGUAUGAAUAAGCAUCGGCUAACUCCGUG